GAUGAACGCUAGCGGCAGGCCUAAUACAUGCAAGUCGAACGAUACCAGAGAGCUUGCUUUCUGGGAAAGUGGCGCACGGGUGCGUAACGCGUAUGCAACCUACCUUAAUCAGGGGGAUAGCCUCUCGAAAGAGAGAUUAACACCGCAUAACAUCAUUUUACGGCAUCGUAGAAUGAUCAAAUAUUUAUAGGAUUAAGAUGGGCAUGCGUGACAUUAGCUAGUUGGUGAGGUAACGGCUCACCAAGGCUACGAUGUCUAGGGGAUCUGAGAGGAUGACCCCCCACACUGGUACUGAGACACGGACCAGACUCCUACGGGAGGCAGCAGUAAGGAAUAUUGGUCAAUGGAGGCAACUCUGAACCAGCCAUGCCGCGUGCAGGAAGACGGCCCUAUGGGUUGUAAACCGCUUUUAUACGGGAAUAAACCUCUCUACGUGUAGGGAGUUGAAUGUACAGUAAGAAUAAGGAUCGGCUAACUCCGUGCCAGCCGCCGCCGUAA
RNAcentral lists this ribosomal RNA (498 nucleotides) under uncultured bacterium. RNAcentral describes it as "partial 16S ribosomal RNA". It matches the Rfam family "Bacterial small subunit ribosomal RNA", at positions 28 to 523 of the family's 1533-position model. The record is from RNAcentral.